Long non-coding RNA from Gopherus evgoodei (Goodes thornscrub tortoise), 1010 nucleotides. RefSeq lists it as uncharacterized. Lineage: Eukaryota; Metazoa; Chordata; Testudines; Testudinidae. The record is from RefSeq and is a predicted model, not a curated record. The transcript is spliced from 3 exons.
GCUGCAGCUACAAGAUUUUUUAGCUGGAGUCAUUCAAAGGAAUCAAUCAAUAAGAGCUUUUCUCAUCAAUCACAAGGGCUGGAGAUGAACUUUAUGUCAAUGAAAAUGGAGAUUCUCAUGUCCUGAUGUACAGAAGUCAAUAGGAGCUAGGUGCAGCCCUAGACAGCACAAGAGCCUCAUCCUACAAAUAUCCUUCAGGGAAAUCCUACUCCAAUGAAGUUAAUCAGUUUUCCCAUUGACUUUAAUGGGUUUAGAAUUUCAGGAAUAGGGUCUAUUGCAAAACUCACUUAACCCAAUGAAAAUGAUCCCAUUGAUUUCAAUGAACUUUGGAUCAGGUUGAUAGUGUUUGCCACCAUGAACUGACGCAGUGAAGUCACUGGUCCUGAUUUUGCUAUCACGCUGGUGUAAAUCAGGAGUAACUCCACCAAAGACAAUGGAUUUAUACCAGUGUCAAGUGAAAGCGGUAAAGCUCAGUGGUUCAUUCAUAAUCAUUAGCACUUCACCUGGUGCUACGUGUUUGCAGGUCUGAGCCCUUAGUGGAUUUCUGGGAGCAAGGGCUUCAUUUCUUAUUGUUUCUUCUUACACAUUGCUUAGUAAAUUGCAAUGUACUGUCCAUCUCCAACAAUGUGGCAGAGAGCACUGAAAAUUGAGAACACCUUUGAAUCAAGGGAGCUCUCUGUUUGGUAGAAAUUCCAGACCUCUGUGAGCAGUGUUAUCAAGCUGAAAAGAAAUAAAGAGGUGAUGCACAACGUCAGGGUGCAUCCGAAAAUCAGAGCUGCAUGAGAGAUUGGGGAUGUGUUUAGAAUCUGAAAAACUGUUGCCCUUUGGAAAACAUUUACAUGUCUGUAUUCAGAUGUUAUGUAGUUGAAUGGGUACAAAUUAUAUAAAGCAAAGGCUCACCGUGUGUUAAAGGGACACGAUCAAUUUAACUUUUGCCCACCAAAUUUUGAUUUUGUACAAACAAGCUUUUAGAAAACCUAAGUCCAGUAGAAAUGUUCUUAUGAAUUAGG